Molecule: ribosomal RNA, 253 nt
Filed under: uncultured bacterium
Lineage: Bacteria
Description: partial 16S ribosomal RNA
Rfam family: Bacterial small subunit ribosomal RNA
Source: RNAcentral
UACGUAGGUGGCAAGCGUUAUCCGGAAUUAUUGGGCGUAAAGCGCGCGCAGGUGGUUUCUUAAGUCUGAUGUGAAAGCCCACGGCUCAACCGUGGGGGGUCAUUGGAAACUGGGAGACUUGAGUGCAGAAGAGGAAAGUGGAAUUCCAUGUGUAGCGGUGAAAUGCGUAGAAAUAUGGAGGAACACCAGUGGCGAAGGCGACUUUCUGGUCUGUAACUGACACUGAGGCGCGAAAGCGUGGGGAGCAAACAGG